RNAcentral lists this ribosomal RNA (147 nucleotides) under uncultured bacterium. Its description in RNAcentral is "partial 16S ribosomal RNA". It matches the Rfam family "Bacterial small subunit ribosomal RNA", at positions 1353 to 1500 of the family's 1533-position model. The record is from RNAcentral.
CAUACUGCCGUGAAUACGUUCCCGGGCCUUGUACACACCGCCCGUCACACCAUGAGAGUUGGGAAUACCCGAAGCCUGUGAGCUAACAUUAAGAGGCAGCAGUCGAAGGUAGAAUCAAUGAUUGGGGUGAAGUCGUAACAAGGUAUC